This 75-nucleotide transfer RNA is filed under the name Chloroflexota bacterium. RNAcentral's name for it is "tRNA-Lys". It matches the Rfam family "tRNA". From Rfam's summary of the family: Transfer RNA (tRNA) molecules are approximately 80 nucleotides in length. Their secondary structure includes four short double-helical elements and three loops (D, anti-codon, and T loops). Lineage: Bacteria; Bacillati; Chloroflexota. RNAcentral also lists the same sequence under 3 other names. The record is from RNAcentral.
GGGCGCGUAGCUCAACGGCAGAGCAAAGGACUCUUAAUCCUUAGGUUGUGGGUUCGAAUCCCUCCGCGCUCGCCA